AUGCCAGAUUAUAUUCAGUUGAGAGAGAUGACAACGAGGUGCAUGCAAGUAAUGAUAGAUAUAGGCAGUGGUGGGUGGCGGAAUGGCAAGGCGUCCAAUCAGAUGUCCUGGGUCCGUGAGGAGUUGGUGGCUCUCAACUACAACAAUAUCAUCAUGGCAAUCUAUAUUGAUUUCAACGAGAAUGCAGAAUCGGCUCUAAGGGAGCAAGGGUGUUCGGCGCCUAGAGGAGUGUUCAGGUUCAAGGAUCUGGCCCUCGCCGUUGAGACCAACGGGGUCGUCGCCGAGUACAUCUGGUAUGUACACAUGAACCUCCCUCGACUACAAUGUCGCUGA
Molecule: ribosomal RNA, 333 nt
Filed under: Triticum aestivum (bread wheat)
Lineage: Eukaryota; Viridiplantae; Streptophyta; Magnoliopsida; Poales; Poaceae
Description: partial small subunit ribosomal RNA
Source: RNAcentral